CAUGUGACACCGCCAGUCACACCGGCCGGGCUGGGCCGUCAGCCAUUGAGCCAGCGAGCCCCCCGUUAAGAUGACUGUAUAUCGCUGCUCCAUCAUGUUUUCCGUCUUUCUCGCAGUCUCAGCUGUUAUGCAGCCCCCUGACUCACCACACAGUUAAAAAGUGGUCCACCAUGGAGGAGGAGACUGUCAUGGUAGCAGGGGCUUGGACCUGGCUGUGGUGCUGCUGCAGCUUCUUCACAGAUCCAUCGUUGCUGCUCUCGUGCUCUUGCCUGAGCAUUUAGAGACACAGGAGGUUGUGCUGGGCCUGGAGCAGGCUCCUCAAGGGGUGCAGUCAUAUGAGACAGAGCUCCCUCGUGGGUGACAUUGUUAGAACGACAGUUGUCACCACCAACUACCACAGUCUCCUGUGGGGUUGCUUGAGCUGUCCACCCUACUGUGUGUUCUGGAGGGAGAGAGUAACACAUGCACCACAUCCCAAGAUCAUUAAGUAAAGAGUAGCCAUUCUGCCUGUUAUCCCUGCUGCUAACAAGACUUCUUUUCAACCAUAAGCUAUCUAGUAUGGAAGAUGAAGUCAACCCAAAACUGGUUUCAAAGUAUGACGGUAGUCAUGCACAGUCUGUGGUAUAAUUGCUAGAAAAACUGGAGCUGGAAUAUAAGUUUAAAGGCAUCAGUGGCAGAGUGGUGAGUGCGAUUCUGUUGUGCAUCACUGCUGACACCUUCGCCAUAUAUCUGCAGCUGGCAGAAUCUGACAGGAAGUCUACUAAUAAGAUGAAGAAGGCACUGGUGACUGCAUUCACUGUUGAUCAGUAUGUGGUGUACGACCGGUUGUCAGCAGGAGGCUGCACAUUGGAGUCAUCAGAUGUGUACCUGGCUCCUCAGCACUGGGCAAGAUUGUUGGGCGUGAUAAAUGACAAGGUCCUCUCCUGUGCCUUUGUAUCUAGGUUGCCUGAAGAAGUUCGCCACUUGCUGAGGGCUGGGUCUUGCACGGAGGCUCUUUAUCUGGACCAGAUAUUGACUUGGGCAAGGGUAGUUAUCAAGAAUGAUCCCACCUGUGUCAUCAGAAACCAGCCCGGGUGCCAUAGUGAGACACAGCCCUUGGAUAUAAACUCAUCCUCGACAUGGAUGGCAAAAAAGCUCUCGGAGGAGUGGCAGCCAAUGAGCAGGUGAAGUAUGCUUCAGUACCGGGAGAUAUGUGAUGUGUGCAGUUGCCAACACCAUGCUGGAAGUUGAAGUGUGACUUUUGCACUAUCGAUGAUACUCAGACUAACAAUUGGACUGCAGCUUGGAGGCAAGCUGAGAACAAGGAGCAGAAUGUCCAACAGAAUUGAGUGGAGGCCUACUCUGUGCUGUGACUUAUGAAUACUUUGAGUAAGAGCUCAAGGAGUAAGUAUGGAUCAACUAAGGGCCUAAUACCACUCAUGGUAGUCAAACAACACAAGAGGAAAGUAUGUCUCACGAUAAACUUCUGGUAGCUGAAGAAAUACAUGGCAGCCUUCACAGCAAAUGGUGACAUGUGUGCAGACCGACUGCAAGAGUGGCAGAAAUUCAUCCAUGACUGACCUUGCAAAGGCUUGCCUGGAGAUCAUUCACCCAUCACUAUGGUCUUAUCAGACCAUGUGCUUGAAGGGCAAGAAGUACUUUUAAAAACAACUGGGUUUUAACCUUAAUGUGGCUCUAUUAGUGGUGAAGGCUGUCCAGAAACAUUGAUGACAUCUUUGGCUAUGAAUAUGUGGCCUGCAUGGGUGCAGGUCAAUUGGUCCCUAAGCUAUUGGUACUUGGGCCGUCUGGUCCACAAGGCAAUUGAUACUCAAGGCAGGUGGUCAUCAAGACCAAGCUACUUGAGAUCCAGGUUAAUUGGUCCUCAAACCUACUGAGCCUCUCUAUUCAUUCUUGCUCAGUGAGUCCAGAUACAUAUCCAAAGAAAUAUGUCCCACACACACACACACACUAGAAUGGACAAGAGAUUAUUUGAAGGAUAGGGAAAUGAGAACUGUGAUACAUACUCAUCUUGGGGUAAAGUAACUAGCAGAGUGCCACAAGGGUCAGUG
Molecule: unclassified non-coding RNA, 2048 nt
Filed under: Portunus trituberculatus (swimming crab)
Lineage: Eukaryota; Metazoa; Arthropoda; Malacostraca; Decapoda; Portunidae
Description: uncharacterized LOC123503982, transcript variant X4
Source: RNAcentral